AAGCAGGUGCUUUUCAGCCACAGCAGAAAGCUGGCACUUGGAGAGCUGAAGGGUUUGGUCCCCAGCACAGAACCUGGACAGCUCCUCUUACUCUGUUUUUGGCCUCCCAUCAUUAAUACUUCUGCAGCCCCUCCCUCCAGCUGCUUCUAGCUUGUGUUGAUCUCUCUGGAGAGCAGAUGGACAUUUGCAUUUCCUGCACCAACUUGACCUUGGGAUCUAUUUAUCAAGUGGC
Molecule: long non-coding RNA, 232 nt
Filed under: Homo sapiens (human)
Lineage: Eukaryota; Metazoa; Chordata; Mammalia; Primates; Hominidae
Description: HSALNT0100567
Source: RNAcentral